UCUAGUUCCAGAUUCUCAAAUCAUAUAGGGCCAGGAGGAGAGGACCAAAUUAUGUCUUAGUUACCUGGCUGCUGGUGGUUGUCUCUGUUUUUUGUAGAGCACAGGUGUAACGGCUUUCAGGGUGGGGGUGGGGAACUCUCCACUGAGUAGUGUGCUGAUGUGGGAGAUCUCUGGCUUGGCCUCUUCCGGCCCUCCUCCCACUCAGCUCCCACCAAUGAUGUAUCAAUAAAACCUCUUGCUGCUGGAGAUCUGCUUACCUGGUGGCCAGGGUGGCAAGACAAGUGAAGCCUGACUAUGCCUGCAGCAUCCACUGUGGAAACUACUACAUCUUUGCCAUGCCAAACACAGCAUGCUUCUGGUCAGCCUAUACAGUCUCUGUCCUGGUGAGGAGCAUGAUCACCAACAGGCAAGAUCUUCUGGCCUUGAAGUUUCGCUUGAGUUAAAAGAGCUCAUCUCAGGUAAGUAACAGGCCAAGAAUGGUGGGCACCGUGACCACUAGCCAACUUGCAAUCCAUUCUACUCCAAAGGACCGGGCUGAAAGAGCAAGAAAACCCUAUAUGCUUAGGUAUCUUUAUCUUGACUAAUGUAUUGAGAAGGGGCAAGUGUACUGGACACUGGUGUGGGAGCUCACAGAGCAGGGAAAUUAAUUUCUUCCCUGAAUCCCAUCCUAUUUGGCUGGGACAUUCUUUUCCUCAAUCUCCCCAAACAUAAAGUAUAAAAAAUGCAGAAAUUCCUUAAAUAUCACUGGCUUACCUGGGCCCUGUGCUCAAAGGUUACCUCGACAUAUCUGUGGCCUGGGAAAGCAUUGCUCCCCUACUCUGGACAUCAACGAGGUAGGGUAGAUCUUCAGGUACAGACAGAUGACCACAUGAUACAAUGCACAGCUGACUUUAGAGAGAAAAGGACCACUUCCUUUCCUUGUUUCUCUACCCCACUAAGUAUCUGCACCAACUAGGAAGAAGAAGGGAAGAGAAAGGAAGACAGAAAAGGAAAGGAAAAGAAAAAGGAUGGAAGGAAAGCUUAGAUGCUGGGGUGGGGAAGGGCUGAGCUGGAGAAAAUAAAAAAAAGGAAUGAGUGAUACAGUAGGGAAAGGAGUUUGAGGGGGCUUUCUAGGAUAAUUUCGGUGACUAAAAAGUGACAGAUGGGUUUACCCUUCCAAAAAAAAUGGAUUUAUUAUUGCUUUUAUCCUCUCUUCGGAUGAACAGUCACACCCAUUUUAUAGAGGACAGGGAAUGUGCGUCUUCCUUUUUCUGGAUCUCAGGAUGUGAUAUUGAUAUGAGGGUGGUGUUGGAACCACCAGCCAAAUUGUGUUCUCAUGGUCAGAUACCACACUGUCACAGUGGGUCUGUGGUGGCAGAAGAGCAAGGCAUAUCAGGAGAGGCUGGUAGAGACAGGGCCAAUUAGUUAGGAAGAAUAAGGAAGAGCAUACACAGUCUCCGUAGUCCACAUGUGGGAGUAGAGAUAAAGAAAUCAGUGCAGUUAAGGAGGGUAGACAGAGCCCAGGAAGACCACAAAACAGCAACGUUCUCAGAGGCCAGAAUCCCUGAUGACUGGGCAUGACAGGGGUCACAGGUGAAUGUGAGCACCUCAGGUCUGAGUUAUUCUAGAAGAAUGUGUACGCUAGGGCUCAGGGAUCUGACUUCAGGAUUGUGGAGGGUAUCUGACUCUGGUAUUUCCCAGAGUGCUGGAGAUAUUGAUCCAAGUUUAUUAAGGGUCCCCAAAACUCUAAGAGACUGCGUCUCAUUUAGCUCCCGCUUACUAAGGACUUGUCAGCCACUGUGAUAGGCAGUUACGUGUCUUGUCUCAUUGAAUCCUUAGCACGAGAUAGGAACUGUUAUUUUGUCCUUUAUUUAGGAAGAACAUGACUUGGGGAAGCUAAGUAACUUGUUUAGCUAGUAAGUGACAGUCCUAGAAGUGACCCCAGGUAUGACUGACUCUAAAACCCAUGGCCUUAGCUGUCCCAUGCUAGCACCAGUGUAGGCCUGAUCUAGAGCCAGGUGUGACACUCAUGAGUGGAUCCUCCCAGGAGACAGGGGAAUCUGGCUUCCUAAGUUCAUCUAGGAACAUCAGGCUGGGGAGGAGAAGCUUCGCCUGAGGCUCAGGCUCUCACGCCUCCUCGACGGCCUCUCUCAGGCCCGUCUCCUCAGUCCCUCUUUCCCUGGCUGACUUUGGCGGUCUAAUGACCUCGGUCCCUCUUUCCUUGGCUGACUUCGGCUGUCUAAUGAAGCCCCUCUAGACAGCUGCUCGCCCACUUGCCCUUCCUUCUCCCUGCUCACCCUGAUGUUUCAGUCUACUCUAUGAUGACCCUGGCCUCAGAUGUUAGGACUAUGCUUUGUUAGAGCGGGAGAGGGAAGAGGAGUAUCAGAGAUCUCUCCCAAACGUCCUUUGCAGGUGAGAACACUGAGCCCCCACGAAGUUGAGGUAAGCUGGCUGGGAGGUGGUGGUAGAGCUGGUGGCAGAACCCACGUCUCCCAGCUCUCCCAGACACCUUAGGGAUUCACCACCACACUGUGCAAGGAGGCUGAAUAGGACCCCCAGCCUUUCUUUGUUCAAAACAACUCCAGUUACCCUGUGCCCCCCUCAGCUCCCAGGGAUCCUUCUUACCCAGGGUACAGGGUGGACUGAGGCAGACCGUGCCAUUCUUGCUGCUCACAGAAUUGCUGACUUGGCAAGUAUAACACCUGGAGUAAUUAUGUGGCAUAAGGGUGGUUUCAAGCACACUGUUCUGGAGCUCCUUUGGGAAGGGCCUUUUGUCCCCAUACCAGGUGUAGUUUACAGACUCGCCAGGUAUCACACAUGACAGUUUCAGAUAACAGUUGUCAUCCAUGUCUUCUAUCUUCUCAAUUUUGAUGACAGGCUUGGGUACAGGGUCUGAAAGUGAGGAGGAUGUUAUAAGAUGAGACAGUGAGGCAUUCAUGCUGUGAAGGUUUAGCCAACAAAGAACAAAGGGAUCCAGGGAAGGGGCCUGAAUGCCCCAGGAGGCAGAGUCAUGAAGAAGAAGUUCUACAGAGGGAGCCAGUGAGCAGCCUUGACCUCCUGAGGCCUCACAGACUCACUGCAAGAGCGGCUUCUAGGCAGUGAAGCUAAGCUGCGUCCUGGAGGGGGCGCCACAGUCCAUCAUAUGCUCUGGGAACAAAAUGGGGUUAUGAUCGUGUGUGAGCCUGAACGAACAGCCCAGAGACUUGCUGGGGUCAGACUUAGUAUAUCAACUGCCUGAGAUGCUCAGGGACCCUUCUCUAGCAACGGUUCAUGGCGGGCACCUUGGCUGGUCUGUCUUUCCAAUUAUCGGAUUCAGCUUCAGCAAGAGUCCUAAGGUAAGAGGUACCUGUCUGCGCGUGGCAAAGUCCUUUGCACAACCAUCCAGUGCAGGUGCCAGCCUUCUAGACUCUGGCAGAGCUACAGAGAAGAACUUCAUGUAACUUCCAGCCGCAUCAAUUGUGAUAAACAGAUUGGUCUGCUAACUUUGGUAUCUCCAUGUCUAGCACAAUCCCUGCCACAUGGCAGGUAUUCUAUAAGUAUCUCAUGAAAGGAUGAAUGAAGUAGUUAUGAGAUAGAAAGGAUAAAACACAGCCGGGUGCAGCGGCUCACACCUGUAAUCUCAGCAAUUUGGGAGGCUGAGGCAGGAGGAUUGCUUGCAGCCAGGAGUUAAGAGACCAGCCUGGGCAACAUUGAGAGACUCAGUUUCUAAAAAAAAAAAAGAAAGAAAAGAAAAGAAAAGUAGCCAGGUGUGGUGGUGUGCACUUUUAGUCCCUGCUACUCAGGAGGCUGAGGUAGGAGGAUUGCUGGAGCCCAGGAGUUCCAGGGUGCAAUAAACUAUGAUUAUACCACUGCACUCCAGCUUGGGUAAGGAGAAGACCUUCAAAAAAAAAAAAAAAAGAAGAAAGAAAGGAAGAAAGAGAGAGAGAAGGGAAGAGAAGAGAGGAAAAAGAAAAAGAAGGGAGGGAGGGAGGGAGGGAGGCAAGUAGACACAAAAACACUAGUUUUGGAGUGAGACCAGCCUGGGUCCUGGACUUGACUCUAGUGGAGUGACAUUAGGCAAGGUAGUUAACCCCCUUGCUGUCAUCUGUAAACUGACUCUACCUCAUCGCGCAAUGUUAGUAAGAUAAAACGUCACCUGUCAUGGAUAAUUGCUUUUUGAAGAGUGUAAGUAUUGCAUACAUUCUAGAGGCCAUUUUACCAUUAUUACUGUUGUACUGCUGCCGGAGAGAAUGAGAGAUAGUCCCAGCAUCUGGUCCUUCCUUGGCUAAGGCCGGUUUACCUGCAAUCCUCUGAGAUCUUUUCAUUCUGGUCAGGGUGAAACAUCUGCAGAAUCAAUGCAACUCAAAUCCCAUAAGAUUAAAAAUUGGCAGAGAAUUGACCAGAUCAGAGCUUGCCUCUUGGUUGUAUGUGUGGAGAGGCUCUAGAAGCUCUACCAAUCUGGUCUCUAGAACUCUAGUUUUGUCUCCUCUGUGAAGCUGAUCUCAGAUCGCUAAAAGAUUGCUCAGACUACAGAGGUGAUAAAAGUUUCCUGGACUUCCCCUAUAUGUUUUAAUUGAGCAAUUUUUAUCCUGGUUUUCACCAUUUCCUGUGUUCUAGCCUCAUAUCUUACACUCCUUCUGCAUUUCCCAUGGUGAUCAGCACAGCACUGGGCACUUUGCUGAUGGAAUUAAUUGAGCCAGCUUGGGUUGUCCAGCUCCAAGAUGCUCGCUUUGAGCUGUCAGAAAUGCUUGGGCUGGACCAGAGGACCAUUUUUUCUGCUAAUCACUUCCUGGAAAUCUUACCCUCAGGCAGGAUGUGCUGAAGCCCAAGCCAGUUUGUGGAUUUUUAAGUACUCAGAAAUUUUGCAAGCUUUUUGUGAAACCAUUAGUUUAUUGAAAUCAACUGUGGUAGCAGUAUUUAAACCACAGAAAUUACAAAGUUGGUAAAUGCUACGCUUUAGGGCUUUUUUUUUUUUUUUUAAAUCUUGU
This 4946-nucleotide long non-coding RNA is filed under the name Homo sapiens (human). RNAcentral's name for it is "HSALNT0016337". Lineage: Eukaryota; Metazoa; Chordata; Mammalia; Primates; Hominidae. The record is from RNAcentral.